UUGGAAGAAGAUUCACAAUUUUAAGUGAGUUUGAUAUAAUCUACCAUGAAGACAUCGAUCUAACAUUGGGGCCAACAUCAAAGCUCAUUUAAGUAUCAGAGAUGGUUAACAAGUAGUACAUAAGUGGAAGUUUAAUGCCUGAACCCCAUCGAGAAAUUAAGUACUUGCCAUGUGUGAGGAGACGGACAUGUACAAGCGGUAGGUAGUGUACACGUCAAGCUGAGUAGCUGCCAUGUGUCGGGCAGGGAGAGGUGUGGAUUGCAACAUGUGUCAUCUUCUAGAGGGACCACGCGACUUGUAUUAGAAGAUCAUCUUGAAUCUUAUCUGUCGUAACCUGUUCGUGCACGCCACGUGACGCUUGCAAGGGAGAAAACAUGUUUUGGGUGUAAUGGUGAAACGUAUUGAUGUCAGGGAAUUCGAAGAAAAUUAUGUUCACCACGUAUCGAACUCAAGACGCAUGAUUCCUUUCGACAAAUGGGUGGACGACACAUGGCAAGGCAUGAUCAUGCCUACCCUUCCCCUGGCACGUUUGCACACGCACGUGAGCUGCACGUAUGGGCUGUCUGACUACACAUGGGGAGUGUGAAGUUGGUCAUUUUCUCUCCUUUCGACGUUUGUUCAAGUGUUUUUCGUUCCAAUUUUAAUACUAACCCUCAUACGAAUUGAAUCAAAA
This is a long non-coding RNA of Cucurbita pepo subsp. pepo (vegetable marrow), 673 nucleotides long. RefSeq lists it as uncharacterized. The record is from RefSeq and is a predicted model, not a curated record. Lineage: Eukaryota; Viridiplantae; Streptophyta; Magnoliopsida; Cucurbitales; Cucurbitaceae.